GAGGGGGAGACGCGCGUGGCCGGGAGGGUGGCGCGAGGGCGCAGCGGCGCGCGCCCAGGGGAGGCCAGGAGACGCCGCCGAGCGGACGGGGCAGUUGUCAGGCGGGCGGGAAAAGGGGAAGAGCGGCAGGCAGGGGUCACGCCGAGGCCAGCCGCAUCCCUGGGCAACAGCGAGGGCGUGAGCGGAGUUUGAGGGGAGACGUGCAAAGACUCACGGGAGCUGGAAGGAGCCUGGACGCGCACGGCCCGCUUCUGCCAUUCCCAUCUCCCCUUCCAGGUCAUGAGGUGGUGCCUUUCAGACUCUGGACCCUCGUCCUAGGGAUGGCACCGUGCAGACGACCUGUGUGUGACCAGUUAUGGGGUCUGAGGUCUCAAAAUCCAUGCCGGCCACCAGCGGUGGAGUAGAUGGAGAUCUUGAAAGAUGCCUUUCAAAUGAAAGAAAACACAGCUCCUUAAAAAAACAAAACCAUCAGACAUUUCAUACAGCACAGCAUUAAAAUCAUAAUUACGCCAUUCACUGAAGAAUUUUAAGCAGCAAGCAAUUUGAUUUUGGUAUUUAUUGAAAAGAAUGACACAGGAACAGCAAUAUAACAGGUACACUUUUCUAAACUAUGGAAACAUACAGUACUAUGCAAAAUUUUAAUUGCAAAUACUGCAUCUCCAAAUUUUAUUGUUUUAAAAAUGCAAAUAAACUGGGAUCUAAUAAAUGAUUUCAUGAAUUAAAUAAAGGAAUUGAAUAGAAUAUACAGAUUGUUGUUGUUGUUAAAUUAUACCUACCUUCUUUCCUGACAGGGAGUUGAGGCAGCUUGCAGAUUAAAAUAAGAAAAGCUGAAAAACACACAAUUGAACUCUGAUAGAACUAAAACUUGUAAAAGGAAACACGCAGUAAAAAAAAUGUCAAAAUCCACAGUUUGGCAAUACUUUUAUUAGGACUGACCAAAAUACCACCCAAGUGGCAAGUGUUUGACUUCUCCAGAACUCUUCAUCAGGCAAUAUGUCACAUAAAGCAAAGGGUGGGGGGAACAUGCCUAAAACAUGAUUGACUGAAUCAAACAACCAACCAGAGAGAUUAGUAAGUAGCAGGACAUGGGCUUGAUAAGGAUAUAAUCACAUAUAUAUCACCCUAAUUUAACAGCAGUCACAUUAGAACUAAAAGGAGAAGUUAUAUGUUUUUUAAAAACUGCACAGAUUUCUGGAAUUGCACUCUUUCAAGUGACAGAGGAUAUAUGUUCUUGAAUAUUGUUGUUGUUGUUAUUGCAGAGGUAGUAGCACUCUUCAUCAGAUGUCAAGG
Long non-coding RNA from Podarcis muralis (Common wall lizard), 1290 nucleotides. RefSeq lists it as uncharacterized. The record is from RefSeq and is a predicted model, not a curated record. NCBI's taxonomy places the organism in Eukaryota, Metazoa, Chordata, Lepidosauria, Squamata, Lacertidae.